GUCCGCAACGAGCGCAACCCCUAUUGUUAGUUGCCAUCAUUCAGUUGGGCACUCUAGCGAGACUGCCGGUAAUAAACCGGAGGAAGGUGGGGAUGACGUCAAAUCAUCAUGCCCCUUAUGACCUGGGCUACACACGUGCUACAAUGGUUGGUACAACGAGUUGCGAGUCGGUGACGGCGAGCUAAUCUCUUAAAGCCAAUCUCAGUUCGGAUUGUAGGCUGCAACUCGCCUACAUGAAGUCGGAAUCGCUAGUAAUCGCGGAUCAGCACGCCCGCGGUCCGAAUACGUUCCCGGGCCUU
This 299-nucleotide ribosomal RNA is filed under the name uncultured Streptococcus sp. RNAcentral's name for it is "partial 16S ribosomal RNA". It matches the Rfam family "Bacterial small subunit ribosomal RNA", at positions 1085 to 1382 of the family's 1533-position model. Lineage: Bacteria; Bacillati; Bacillota; Bacilli; Lactobacillales; Streptococcaceae. The record is from RNAcentral.